This 253-nucleotide ribosomal RNA is filed under the name uncultured bacterium. Its description in RNAcentral is "partial 16S ribosomal RNA". It matches the Rfam family "Bacterial small subunit ribosomal RNA", at positions 524 to 776 of the family's 1533-position model. The record is from RNAcentral.
UACGGAGGGUGCGAGCGUUAAUCGGAAUCACUGGGCGUAAAGCGUGCGUAGGCGGUGUGGUAAGUCAGACGUGAAAGCCCUCGGCUCAACCGAGGAAUUGCGUUUGAAACUGCCACACUUGAGUCUCGGAGAGGUUGGCGGAAUUCCAGGUGUAGGAGUGAAAUCCGUAGAUAUCUGGAGGAACACCGGUGGCGAAGGCGGCCAACUGGACGAGUACUGACGCUGAGGUACGAAAGCGUGGGGAGCAAACAGG